RNAcentral lists this ribosomal RNA (516 nucleotides) under Diacantha sp. 2 MB-2007. Its description in RNAcentral is "partial 12S ribosomal RNA". The record is from RNAcentral. Lineage: Eukaryota; Metazoa; Arthropoda; Insecta; Coleoptera; Chrysomelidae.
CUCGGUUACACAAAUAAUAUAAUUUAGUUUUAUUGAUAAUAAUUAAUUUAGUAAGAGAAUUAUAAAUUAAAAUUUAUUAGGUGAAAUUUUAAAUUUUUAAUUUAGUUUUAUUUAUAAAAUGAUGUUAAGAAAUUUUAAAUUAUAGACUAGGAUUAGAUACCCUAUUAUUUUAAAUGUAUUUUUAAAAUUUGAUUAGUAUUAGUUAUGUUCUUUAAAAUUAAAAAUUUUGGCGGUAUUUUAGUCUUUUCAGAGGAACCUGUUUUAUAAAUGAUAAUCCACGAUUUUAUACACUUUUUUUAAAAAUUUAUAUAUCAUCGUAAUUAAAUAUUUUAUUAGAAUUAUAAAUAUUUAAGAUUUUUUAUUAAAAAAUUAAUCAGAUCAAGGUGUAGUUUAUGAAAAAGAAAAAAUGGGUUACAAUAAAUUUAUUUUUGGAUAAUUAAUUUUAUAUUAAUUUGAAUUUGGAUUUGGGAGUAAUUUUAAUUAAUUAAUUAAUUUGAUUAAAGCUCUAAAAUAUGC